Molecule: ribosomal RNA, 481 nt
Filed under: uncultured bacterium
Lineage: Bacteria
Description: partial 16S ribosomal RNA
Rfam family: Bacterial small subunit ribosomal RNA
Source: RNAcentral
GACGAACGUUGGCGGCGUGCUUAAUACAUGCAAGUCAACUGAAGCAGUGGUAGCAAUAUCGCUGUGGAGGUGGCGCACGGGUGAGUAACACGUAGGUAAUCUGCCUUCAGGUCUGGCAUAACUCCGGGAAACCGGGGCUAAUAGCAGAUGAUGCAGCGGCUCGACAUCGAGACAGUUGUUAAAGCUAUGGCGCCUGAAGAUGAGCCUGCGUCUGAUUAGCUAGUUGGCGGGGUAACGGCCCACCAAGGCAACGAUCAGUAGCUGGUCUGAGAGGAUGAUCAGCCACACUGGAACUGAGACACGGUCCAGACCCCGACGGGGGGCAGCAGUAAGGAAUAUUGCUCAAUGGGAGAAAUCCUGAAGCAGCAACGCCGCGUGAGGGACGAAGGGCUUGUGCUUGUAAACCUCUGUAGUGAGAGAAAAAAAUCCCAAUCUUUGGGACAUGAUGGUAUCUCAAAAGUAAGCCCCGGCUAACUACGUG